CNCGACNAAUCUUACCNCUCCUUGUAUAAUAAAUAUUUUCCUUAAGGGAUUGUUUUGACUUUGAGGAACUUUAAUUAAAUAAUAACAUAUAUACUUAUGAUAAGUCUUUAAACUUACUUAUAUAUAUUUGUAAUACGUCAUCUAAACUUAUAUUAAUAAUAAUUCAAUAGUUAUUAUUGAAUCGAUGACAUAAUUGUUGUUAAUGUGAUGGAUAGUAAUAAUAAUUAAAUAUUGUUAUGGGUGUGNGUANCAUUAGUAAUAAUAACUAAUUAUUACCAUUAUAAACCACAGUAAUAAUAAUUGAUUAAAUAAUUAAAUGGAAUGAAUGAUUAAGCAAUUAGUAAUUCAUUAAUAUUUAUUACAGGUGUUGCAUGGCUGUCUUUAGUUCGUGUUGUGAAAUGUUAGGUUAAUUCCGAAAACGAACGCAAUCCUUAUCUUUAUUUAAAACUAUAUAAAGAGGUAUCUUUCCAUAAGAAGGAAUAAUUAGGGUGAAGACAAGUCCUCAUGACCCUUAUGGAGUGGGCUACAGACGUGCCACAAAUAUUUCUACAAAGGGAAGCAAAGAUGAAAGUCNGAGC
This 578-nucleotide ribosomal RNA is filed under the name Pneumocystis carinii. RNAcentral's name for it is "SSU rRNA". The stretch from base 315 to 515 matches the Rfam family "Bacterial small subunit ribosomal RNA", at positions 984 to 1205 of the family's 1533-position model. The record is from RNAcentral. Lineage: Eukaryota; Fungi; Ascomycota; Pneumocystomycetes; Pneumocystales; Pneumocystaceae.